UACGUAGGGUGCAAGCGUUGUCCGGAAUUAUUGGGCGUAAAGGGCUCGUAGGCGGCCAACUAAGUCAGACGUGAAAUCCCUCAGCUUAACUGGGGAACUGCGUCUGAUACUGGAUGGCUUGGAUUCGGGAGAGGAAUGCGGAAUUCCAGGUGUAGCGGUGAAAUGCGUAGAUAUCUGGAGGAACACCGGUGGCGAAGGCGGCAUUCUGGACCGACAUUGACGCUGAGGAGCGAAAGCCAGGGGAGCAAACGGG
This 253-nucleotide ribosomal RNA is filed under the name uncultured bacterium. Its description in RNAcentral is "partial 16S ribosomal RNA". It matches the Rfam family "Bacterial small subunit ribosomal RNA", at positions 524 to 776 of the family's 1533-position model. The record is from RNAcentral.